Molecule: unclassified non-coding RNA, 392 nt
Filed under: Cladosiphon umezakii
Lineage: Eukaryota; Phaeophyceae; Ectocarpales; Chordariaceae
Description: ITS2
Source: RNAcentral
GACACCACUCGCCCCGACGGACCUCCCGGUCUCUGCUUCUUGCAGAAACGAGGGAAGAACCGGCGGCGGACUCUGCGUGCUCCGGAGCUCGCGCUCCGAGUGCACCGAACCUCGUGAACGAGACCCCCCCUACUUGUAAUAAAACAGGAUUGUUGACGGCAUGGGGCAUUUUUUGGGGAGAUUGGCACCUGCUAGGAACGCUCCAACCGGCCACUCAACGCUUCGGCGUUUGUAACGGGCCUUGGCGGAAAUAGCAACCGCGAACCCCCCUAGAGACAAAACGCCACGACUUAUAGCAAUCCGACCCGCUCUUGUCCGGUUCGGGAGGUCGCCAAGUGUUUUCCGGUCGCCCCGCGCGCGCCUCGGGCGCGCGGACUAACCCCAACUUUCGU